Molecule: long non-coding RNA, 2675 nt
Organism: Canis lupus familiaris (dog)
Lineage: Eukaryota; Metazoa; Chordata; Mammalia; Carnivora; Canidae
Exons: 7
Source: RefSeq, a predicted model, not a curated record
CCCCAGAAACCUGUCUUGUCCAACACACAACCUUUAGAAAAGGAUUUCCCCCUCCUCGGGGUGUCGGAACCGGGGAGCCUCACGUGGCCCCGCCCCCCGCCUCCAUCAGUCCUUGCCCCGAGGCCGAGAACCGCAGGGGCUCGGGGGCGGGAAGCGGGGAGGCGAGCAGAGAAGCCCUGGUCCUCCUCCGUGCGGUCGACUUUCAGGGCUCAGGUUCCGCGCAGUGUUGGACGCGGCGGCCAAGCGGAGGGGCCGAGGUUGUGCCACAGGGACUCUCAGGACGGGAUAACGUGGGACUCGGGGAGACGAAGCGGCCCUAAGGAGGACGAGCACGCGGAGAAUUCCAGCGGCAGGUGCCUUCGGGUCAGACGGGAGACGUCAGGGGGCUGCCCCCCCGGAUCCCCCCCCACCCCCGCCCCGCCGUGUCCGGUGCGUCCGCAGGGGUCCUCUGCAGAGCACUUUUGAAAACCCCUGUUUGUACGAGUGCCCCUCGACGUGCAAAGAGAAGUGCAGGCUCCGACCUGCAGGAAAUUUUGCAUUUCAAGGCAAAACAGGGCAAAACAGCCCUCCAGAAAACUCGGCCGCUUGGGAACAACAGAAAACCCUGCACGGGGCUGGGAGACGGCCUGGCGUUCUCCUGUGGCCCUCUUGUGGUCCUCGACUACUCGAAUAUUACAUUAACCCAGGCGGUACCGUGCGGUGUGUUUCUGAGAACCGUCUAGGAUUUCAUUGCGCUCGGUCUUGAGCUCUUUCAGAGUCAACAGCCAGGUUAAUGUCAAGAGCCAGUCAUGUUAAAAAUUGCAUUUUACUGGUUUUUUACCUGAACCCUACUGUUUUGUUUUGUUUGUUUACUCAUGGGUUUGAUUCGGGUACUCUUUAUUGGAGGCCCAGAAUAAUGCAAGAUGCCCCCCACCCCCCUUUUUUUCUUUUUACUGAUUCAGGUUAGGCACUGAAUGUACCCAUGGAUUUUAUUCAGCCUGAGAAGUAACCUGCAGGCAGACAGAUAGGACACGUGGUUAGAACCUAGCAGUAAGAGAGGCGGAGACGCAGAAUACUUAAGACUACCUCGUCCAGGAACCCAGAGCAAGAAGAGAGGAAAGGGGGCUGGGGAGAAGACUUUGAAGAAAUCCCCGAAAGUGACAGUAGAAAUGUUUUCUUCUGGUAUCUGGCAAAAGCCUUCUCCACAUGGGGUCAGAGGAGGCUCUCUCACACUGGAUAAAACACGGAUCUCAGGCUCUACGUGACAUACAGAAAUCUCCAUCUUGCCACCUACAAACCUGAAACCUGAAGUGAUUAGACCUCCUUUUAAUCAAGAUCAAAGAAUGCCAUCCCUACAGAUUUCGAGAUGAAAGACAAGGACAGAAGGUGUACAUACUUCAUCCCAUAUUGGUUUCACAACUACAGGUUACUAUUUGGGAACUCCCUCGUUGAACGUGGCCCACUGUCAGUGCACACAGGUGGUCCCACAGUUUCGUGAUUAGACCUACAAAUUCAAUGUCAGCAAGCUGUCCAGAGGCACCUUCCCUGGAUCUUAAUGAAGAAUGACCUGCUUCUCUGAGAUUCCACUUCCUCUGAAGCUUAGAGAUGCUAAUAGCAAAAGAAACUGAGAAAGAGGGCAGAAGCAUAGAAAAAAAAAGCAGGGAAAUGUGGCAACCCAGGAAGGCAAGGGAAGAAUGCUUCUCAAGGAAGAGAGAUAAAGAACUGGAUCUAAUGCAGACGGUGGGCCAGGGACAGUGAGGUCCGAGAACUGGCCAUUGGGGUCAACCACAUGCAGGUCAUGAUGGACCACAAGUUGGGAUGAAGUUCCAAAGUAGCCAGAAAUCUUGGCAUGGAAAUAGAACACGCAGAGGGAAGAGUGGAGAGGCCUCCCAGAGCAAGAGAAUGAGAAGCCCCACAGAAGAAACCCAUCUAGAGAAAGUGGCUGAGUCACAGAGUGAUGGGGCACUGGACUUCCCUGGCCCAUCCACCUGUCACAGCCCCUCAUGAUGACCUAUGCCCCCUGAUGUUCUGGAGUCCCUGGUCCCUGUCCCUGUGAGUGUGUACACAUGGGAGCUGCUCUACUGAGGCUCCCCUGAGUGCACUGAGCAGACCCCAAAAUCACAACUGUCUCUAUUUUACUAAAUCAGAGUCGCAUGAAAGCAAGAUGUGGUCAGAGGGUCCUGAAUUAAGACAGAAGAACAGAAACAAAAUGGUGAAUGGGAUCAAUGCAGAAGGCAUCAGGAUUUAUUUGUGGUGUGGUAACAACAUAAAGAUCUCUCCAGCGGUCUCACAGGAAAGGGAUCAGUCUCUCCUGGACGUCUUCCUCAGCCUGAUUAUGGCAGGAAGUGAUGGAAACCUGAGGAAAGCCUGCUUUUUGUAGUGAUGAUGAUCAAGAGUGGUUGUCUGGGGGUGGCCAUGGUAGGCAUCACCCUAAACCGAGAGUCCAGAUGAGCUGGUACCUUGGAUUCCUGAAGUGUGGGUGCUGAGCAGUAUGCAUUUGUGAAAGAUAUCCCUAGAGAGACCUUUGACUGAGAUUCAAUGGGUGCACUGGUCCUCAUAGAGGAUUUUCUCCUGAAGAACGAGAAUGUACAAAAUCCUUUAAAAAAGCCACGAAGAAUCUUAGUGCCGUUUGCAUUUGAGAGAGAGAGAGAGAGAGAGAGCCAGAGAGCACAAGCCAGGGAAGCUGCAAAAGAAGC